This 2088-nucleotide long non-coding RNA is filed under the name Homo sapiens (human). Its description in RNAcentral is "HSALNT0020675". The record is from RNAcentral. Lineage: Eukaryota; Metazoa; Chordata; Mammalia; Primates; Hominidae.
CCCGUGGCCGGUAAAGGCCACGCGGCGCUCCUAGCGGGUGCUAGUACUGGCGCGGGAGGCGGGAGGUUGGAGGCGAGGAGCUCGCGGCCUAGGCUGUUUGGGUCCCUGGCGCGAGCUGUAGACGGAGAGAGGGGUCCGGAGAAGGAGGGGUGAAAGUAGCAGUUAGCCCGCGAUCUCAGAAGGGCUGCCCGCCCCUCACGGUCCCUUAAUAGCACGUUGCGUCCUGGAAGUUCUAAAACGUCCCGCUUCAAUAUGAAUUUUAAAUUAGUGAAAACAUAUGUGUAUUGUUUUAGGCUUUCCCACCGCGGGGACGGCCCUCCGGGGGUUGACUUAGCUGGGAUGCAGAAUAGAAGCUGGGCCUUUGUCUGACUACCCUGCAACAGUCAGCCACAGACGGGAAGGCAGCGCAGGAAACUGAGGCCAAAGGAGCCGCGCUUCCUCAUGAGCAUGAAGCGGCAAAGCCUGAACUAGAAGCUUCUAACGCCUAACCGUCCUCUUGCCGCACCAGGACCUACCUCUGCAAGGCCCUUCCUGACUUUUUCCUUAGAAUGUGUGUAUAUGUGUCUUUUUCCUUUUCUGAUGCUAAGACACCUCAGAAACACCAAUGUUAAGCAGAUUUCCAUCGUUGGAGGUUAAAACACCCGAAUACAAGUGUUUUCUUGAGUGUGGCAUCUGGUCAGAUGUUUUAUGGGUUGGUUUGUUUUUAAAAAAAAAAAAUUUCCUGUUAGAUGGGUGGUAAGAACCAGUCAGAGUUUGUAAACCCACCAAGCACGAGGCGGUCGGACCGUCCAGAUUCUGGAGUCCAGAAGACACCAAACGUUCUCAGAAUGCCGAACGCGGGCGCCACCUGGUGGGACUAGAACGCUUAUUGUCCCAAAUCAGCAUAGCACACAGUUCCCAUAAAUCUUAAAAAUUCCCAUCCAAGGCUCAUUUCCGUGUGACUAAAAGUCAUAUUCUCUGUUCUCGUGACUCCAAGUAAAAAUGUCCCUAAAGAGCCAAAGUAUCUUCACUGUAUAAACUAAUAAUCUAUUGGUUUGGGGAAUUUUAUUUUUUGUGAUCAAUGUUACUUUAGCCUUUCUAUGAUAUACAUAUAAAUAAAAAAGUUUUCUUCCAUGAUGAUUUUUUAAAGUUUAUUUUAUAAAUAAACUUUUUCUUUUUGUCUCUCCCUUCCCCCACUUUGCAACCAGAGCAAUUCUGCUUUCACAGGGGUUUGUAUUUGGGCUCUUACGAAGCUUUUGUUUGAAGAAAGAGUUCCAUGGCAACGCAAAGAUUGGACGAGGUUACUGUUGAAGUCCCUUCCAGCUCUAAGAUUGCAAAAUUCUAUUAAAUAAUCCCCGUUCUCAGUACUUAUGUAGACACCUCAGACCACUUUACUGCCCUCCCUAAACAGUUGAAUGAGACUUGCCCCCACAUGAUUUCUUACCUCAUUCUGAAUCACUGCUCGUGAGAGGAUUGCAUCCGCAGUCUGUGCUUAAGACACAUCUUCCAGAGCCAAGUGGAAGGGUUCCUGCUCCCUUUCUUGCUCCUAAGGUGGGAAAUACAGAGGCCGCCUUUGUCUUUCGCCUAUUGUUCCCAUGGUCAAGGGAAAGAGGACUCCUCGAGGGUGCUGGAGCUUCAUAAAUCUCUGACCUUAGUGACCCAAUGUUUCUUCAAAGAUCCCCUGUAUGAUGGGGUUAACGUCCCAUAAGGGAUCUGGCAGGAGCCUCCACACCCCUGCUGAGCGCUGCCCUGUCCCCUCCAGCUCCCAAGCAGCUUCCACAUCAUUCAUGCCCUUUCUUCCCCUCCAAAGCCUCAUUCAAGAGUAGUUUAAAAUCACCAUUAUCAUUCUCCAUGCAGUUAAAGUCAGAUUUACCCACCAUGAAUUAGCCAAAAGUCAUAUAAGAUGCAUGUCUGUCCUUUGAAGCCAAUUCCAAGACAUCUGCAAAAUAAGGUACCUGCAAGUUCUAAUACAUUGACUAAGGAAAUAAACAACAGUAAAAAAGAUGCAACUAUUCCAGGAUCUUAAAAACCCACUGGGACAUUCACAAUGUGAUCAAAGUUUCAAAUGCACAGAUUAAGAAAACAUCCCCGUGGCCACAUUUACCUGGA